This 337-nucleotide unclassified non-coding RNA is filed under the name soil metagenome. RNAcentral describes it as "partial contains 5.8S ribosomal RNA, internal transcribed spacer 2, and large subunit ribosomal RNA". The stretch from base 1 to 120 matches the Rfam family "5.8S ribosomal RNA", at positions 35 to 154 of the family's 154-position model. The record is from RNAcentral.
GAUGAAGAACGUAGCGAAAUGCGAUAAGUAAUGUGAAUUGCAGAAUUCAGUGAAUCAUCGAAUCUUUGAACGCACAUUGCGCCCGCCAGUAUUCUGGCGGGCAUGACUGUUCGAGCGUCAUUUCAACCAUCAAGCCCCCGGGCUUGUGUUGGGGACCUGCGGCUGCCGCAGGCCCUGAAAAGCAGUGGCGGGCUCGCUGUCACACCGAGCGUAGUAGAUUUUAUCUCGCUCUGGGCGUGCUGCGGGUUCCGGCCGUUAAACCACCCUUUUAACCCAAGGUUGACCUCGGAUCAGGUAGGAAGACCCGCUGAACUUAAGCAUAUCAAUAAGCGGAGGA